Molecule: ribosomal RNA, 492 nt
Filed under: uncultured bacterium
Lineage: Bacteria
Description: partial 16S ribosomal RNA
Rfam family: Bacterial small subunit ribosomal RNA
Source: RNAcentral
AGUGAACGCUGGCGGUAGGCCUAACACAUGCAAGUCGAACGGCAGCACAGUAAGAGCUUGCUCUUACGGGUGGCGAGUGGCGGACGGGUGAGGAAUACAUCGGAAUCUACUUUUUCGUGGGGGAUAACGUAGGGAAACUUACGCUAAUACCGCAUACGACCUACGGGUGAAAGCAGGGGAUCUUCGGACCUUGCGCGAUUGAAUGAGCCGAUGUCGGAUUAGCUAGUUGGCGGGGUAAAGGCCCACCAAGGCGACGAUCCUUAGCUGGUCUGAGAGGAUGAUCAGCCACACUGGAACUGAGACGCGGUCCAGACUCCUACGGGAGGCAGCAGUGGGGAAUAUUGGACAAUGGGCGCAAGCCUGAUCCAGCCAUACCGCGUGGGUGAAGAAGGCCUUCGGGUUGUAAAGCCCUUUUGUUGGGAAAGAAAAGCAGCAGGUUAAUACCCCGCUGUUCUGACGGUACCCAAAGAAUAAGCACCGGCUAACUUCGUG